This 783-nucleotide ribosomal RNA is filed under the name uncultured bacterium. Its description in RNAcentral is "bacterial SSU rRNA". It matches the Rfam family "Bacterial small subunit ribosomal RNA", at positions 729 to 1502 of the family's 1533-position model. The record is from RNAcentral.
ACAAANNNUAGACAAUUCAAGAUUGCGAAAACGUGGGGGAGCAAAACAAGGAUUAGAUAACCCUGGGUAGUUCCACNCCGUAAACGAUAGUAUACUUGGAGGGUUGUGGCCUUGAACCGUGGGCUUUCGGAGCUAACGCGUUAAGUAGACGCCUGGGGAGUACGGUCGCAAGAAUUAAAACUCAAAUGAAAUUGACGGGGGCCCGCACAAGCGGUGGAGCAUGUGGUUUAAUUCGAUGCAACGCGAAGAACCUUACCUACUCUUGACAUCUACAGAAGCCAGCGGAGACGCAGGUGUGCCUUCGGGAACUGUAAGACAGGUGCUGCAUGGCUGUCGUCAGCUCGUGUUGUGAAAUGUUGGGUUAAGUCCCGCAACGAGCGCAACCCUUAUCCUUGUUUGCCAGCACUUCGGGUGGGAACUCCAGGGAGACUGCCGGUGAUAAACCGGAGGAAGGUGGGGACGACGUCAAGUCAUCAUGGCCCUUACGAGUAGGGCUACACACGUGCUACAAUGGCGCAUACAGAGGGCGGCCAACUUGCGAAAGUGAGCGAAUCCCAAAAAGUGCGUCGUAGUCCGGAUUGGAGUCUGCAACUCGACUCCAUGAAGUCGGAAUCGCUAGUAAUCGUGGAUCAGAAUGCCACGGUGAAUACGUUCCCGGGCCUUGUACACACCGCCCGUCACACCAUGGGAGUGGGCUGCAAAAGAAGUGGGUAGUUUAACCUUCGGGAGGACGCUCACCACUUUGUGGUUCAUGACUGGGGUGAAGUCGUAACAAGGUAACCG